UGCCUACCUGGCACAGCACCUUCACAUAGUGGGUGCUUGGUCAGUAUUUUUCCAAUGAAUUAAUCUAGUCCAAACCUUUCCUUUUACAGGAGAAGGCUGAGCAGUUGAGAACUGAAGUGAUUCAAUGGCUGUGCAUGUAAUGACUGGUGGGGUAGGGCAUAGAAGCCAGGCCGCCUCAACCUCUACGUUCUUCAGCUGUCCUGGGAUUAGGGGGGCUCUGCUCUCCCUCACAUCAGUUGUUUUCCAUGGAACAGAAGUUGUCCUGUCCUAUUGUUAGCAGAGCAAUAAUGGGAUGAGAUACAUUUUGGCAAGAGUUGGCAAGUCUCAGGAUUUUAUACAGAUACUUUCUGGAUUUAAACCCCAGACAUCCAUAAAACUGCCUCUGAUUUCCUACAAAAUGUUUUCUGAGAGUUUGAUCUUAGCCUCUGCCAUGCCUUGUUGAAUAAUCUUGACUGAAAGGAAACAGCUUUACAUUCUGGGGUGCCCUUAGGAACUACGGGGCCCCCUGGUGAGUGUGGCAAUAGGAAUUACUGCUGUAUGCUGUGUUUGUUUUGCACUGUGUGUAUAAGGUGGGUUGAAUAACUGAAUAUAUGAGCCUGGCCAAAGAUGCCAGUGGCAUUCGUACUUAGCUUUUUUUUUCAGCUUUCAUUAUAGGUGGCUAAGCAAUCGCUAUACCACCAUCCUUUCACCAUAUUUUAUGAUCCCUCACAAUCAUAAUAUAUAUUUCCACUGAGAGUUAAAGAGACUUUUGGAGGAGUAGAGAGAGGAACCUGUUUAUUUUGUCUUAGAAAUAAAGUUGAGUUGAAAUAAAUAUCCUUAGAUCACAGCUAAUUGUUGUGCACACUUUAAAAUAGACGUUUCUUAUCUGGAGGCUUCUCCUGGUGUUUUUUUGUAAGAAGCUGAUUGACGAAUUAACCUAUCAGUUUCUUGGAGCUUUAGGUCAUUAUCUCUGGCAAGUAGAAAGUAAGACUUGUUUAUUUAGAUAUGGAGGGCUGAGUCUGGCUGCCGACUUGGAGAAGGUCGUGUUAUUGGUUUACCCUAAUUCAUCAGCCCCUGAGACUAAGGUAAUGAUGCUUUAUUCCAGAAAGUACUGACUACUCAAAUAUACUAUCCAUAGAAGAUUUUGAGGUCCCUUAGUUAAAAUCACAAUAGACGUGUUAAUAACAAGGUAGCUGUUUUUCUUCCAACUUCCUGCCAUACCCAAUACAGAAUAGAUGUGAAAGUCACCACCACCACCUCCCCAUCUGGCAGGUGUUUCUAGGGUGUGAGGUGUAGUGGUUUAGGGCCUGCAAAUGCUGGGGUAAUAGCAACAGUGGAGAGAGGAAAAUCCCUUGCCUCGUACCUCUCCUUGUGGGGAGAGCCAGCCCUGGGAGAAAGGGGCCAGAUACACAGCCACGGUGCGAUGACAGGCUGCAAGCUACAGCAGGAGCCUAGAACUGAGACAGGCAGAGCUGGUAGCAGUUGCAUCCUUACCUUGGAGCCCCUUAUAGAAUGAGAGACACUGCCUUGCCUGGGCCUGCACAGCUUUGCCGCUGUGUCCUACACCCACUGUGGGCUUGGGAAGCAGCAACUUUGCUGCAGCCCAUUCAGGACACUCGCCUUUAACCUGAUGCCUGUUAAAUCUGUCUUCAGGCUUAUCUGUCCUAUAAGGUGUAAGUGACAAAUGUGUGUUACCACCCACCCCCAGAGCGGUGUGUGUGUGUGUUAGUAAGUGUUAAAAUAAGCCCUUAGAUGAACAGGGAUGAGGUUCUGACAAGAAACGUGUUGGGGAGGAAGCUGGCUUUCCUCUCCAGGGAGUAAGGCAGGCCUGUGGUGCCUCGGCAGAGAGGUCAGCUAUGAUUGUGUGUCGUGAGCAGGGCUUCCAUGUUAAGGGCCUGUGGAUUUAUAGGAACUUGGGCUCAUCAAGUCCAGGAGGAGGUGAGAAACUAAGCAAAGGAGGGGUGGAGGGGCUGGUGCUCAGGUGUGAGCGUUGGCUGGUAGUUCUGCAGCUGGGGAGAGCAGGGGAGGGGCGUCCUGCUGGGCUCUCAGCCCUAACCCAGGAUGGUCGUUGGGGCCACUUCUUGGGACGGCUUCUCCAAGUCUUGGGGAUGCUCUUCCUGUCCAGCCUCAGGUCCCUUGGCCCUGGCUGUGUUCUGGUUGGAGGGGUUGCCCUGCAGUUCCUUUUCCUAAGGGGAAACUGCCACUGGAAGGCAGGGAUCUGGCCUUAGGCUUUGUCGCCCAACAACUAGAACAACACCUGCGUGUGGUCAAUGGCCUCGCAGAUGUUCAGUGAGUGAAGGAGCAGGUGUGAGAGCCCCUUCAAAGCUCUGGUCCCAGGCAAGAAAGCCGGAAGGGAACCAACAUUCAAUUUGUCCACAGUUGUACUCUCUUCAGCUACUUUACAUAUACUCUCAUUUAAUUCUCACCACCACCCUGCGAGGUAGUUGUUUUGAUCAUUUUCACAGACGAAGAGGCUGAGGUUGAGUCUUCUCCCCCCUCCAGUUUGCCUGUCGGGCUCUGCCCCUCCCUGGCACUCCCCACCCCGCUUCACCCCACCCCCUCAGGGCCUCCUCACCAGGGAUGCUUCCCCAAGCCUCCCAGCUGGCCUUACUCCCCCUUCCUCGGGCUCCCCCAGACGUCCUUAUUGCUUCUGCGGUCACCGUGUCAGCCACUGUCUUGUUCUUUGUGUGUCCUUUUCUUCCUCAGGGUUCUUAAAGCAGAACGUAGGAAACCCCUCUCAGGGCAUGCACGUGUGACUUUUCCAGGGAGGAGGGUCUGGGGCACUGUCAAAUUGUCAAAGGAGUCUGUAAUCCCCUGGCGUCCAGAAGCAGCACGUGGACUGAGCCCUGUGGUGGUUCCCCAGCAUCUGUCUCCCUGCCGCCCCGCCUCUGGGCCCUGCCCGUGUACUCAGCCUACGUCCGAGCGCGCCAUGCUGAGCCCAGUGCCGGGAGUGUGAGCGCAUGCCUCCUCCUGCCUCCUGGGCACUGAGUCCCCACCUGCCCUGACUGGGCUAGGGUUCCGAGUCUGCUCCCUUGGCCCCCUCUCUCCCAACUUUCUCUUCCUUUCCUCACUUAACUGUUUCCACAUGAGUCCUGAACGUCUGUCUUCAAUGAGAAGGUCUUAGGGAGCAGAGAGAGUUUUUAAGCUAGAAGAGACCUGGGGAAUCCCCCGCCGCGGUUGAGGGAGAGGAGAGGACACGCAGACAGGAAGAGGCUCCCAUGGUACCUUUGAAGAAAGUCUCUCAGAACUGGGAGGGGAGCAACAGCAAUACUGAGUGUCCUGAAUGGUGAGCCAUGAUGUGAGUGCCCACGAGGAUGUUCACCUGCCUGAGAGGACCCCUGGAGGGUCACUGCGUAACCAGAGUGGGCCCCGCAGUGCCCCACAGCGAGCAGGGCGGGGGUGCUGGCCCCUCGGUUCACAGCCUUUGUCGGGUUGCCUCAUCCUUGAGCCAGGCUGGCUCCUCAAGUUGUAUCCAGUGCCUACCACAUGCUGCAGUCAGCCCUCUAGUUAUCGAGGAGGAAUGGGAUCAUGAACCUGCCUUCCAAAUAUUUGGACCCUUGGAGAGAAGAGAAGAUAAACGAAAAUUACUAACACGAUGGAAAAAACAGUAAGGGCCACAGAAGAGCCAGAGAUUAAAGGCUGCUGCGGAACACGCCUGAUUUUGGCCUCCGAGAUCCAGCUCCAAGUUCUUUCUGACUAGCUUCCUAAAGACAGAAAAGAUCUGUGACGAGGGCAUCACACGGCCUGUGUUUAUCUGGCUUUGCUGGUAACUGGCUGUGUGAGUGGACAAGUCAUUUGCCAAGGAUUAGAGGAGAUGAGCUAAGGGCUCCUUGACCUGCCAUUCUGUAUGAUUCUGAAGUUACAGUGAAGUCAGGAGGGGAAGAACAGACGCCUGAGGCAACAGACCAACCGUGAGCUCCAGACGGGCUGUUUGUUUGUUAAUAUACCCCCUCCCCUCCCCUCCCCUCCCCACCCACCUAUUACCUCGGCUUAUUAGAGGUGGUUGAUGAAAAGACUGGAAUCCGUGCUCCGGGGUCUGCACUGCUCUGGCGGAGGGUUUAGCACCAUAGAACUCACUUUGUAAAAGUGCACCAGCUGUGAUAAAUAAGCUUAAGCCUCAGUAACCACUUUUACCAAUUACGCUAGGCUGCUUUGUGACAGAAGGUAAUACCAAGUAAGAAUUUUAAAGAAGCCUCAUUUUCCUUGUCUAAUUAAAUUAAAUACUUGAAAGGUGAUUCACAUGUUGAUUUUCCCCCCAUUAGCCAACUGAAAAUUACAGGGUCUUUUAAGAGUUGGAGCCACGUGAUUCGCCUGCUCAGCCUCUAGGGUCAGGGAGCCCUCACCCCUGGACGCUCUCCUGCCGGCAUCCCACCCACCCAUUUCUGUGUGUGCAGCUGUCAUGGUGGGGCUCUGGGGCCGCCACUGCCCAGGAGAAUUUAGGGAGAGCAUGCUCGUUAGUUUUUUAAUCCUUCCACAAAAAUCUGUACAGGAUGCCUUUGUUUCUAGGUUUUUGAUAUUCCCAACAGGCAGCAGUUCUCUCUAUAAUGAGAAACAAGGAGAGCCUCAUUCUUUCCAGUUCUUUUUGUCUCACACCAGUAAGAGAAAUCACCUGGAUUGAGAGCUCACCAAGUCAGUCCUUAAUCUUCCUCCACCGUGAAGAUCUGGAUUAUUUAAAUGCCAGUAAAUCCUGGCAAUUUUGUUUCAGUGGUGCCACCAGGAUGCUGUAAUUUGAAACUGUCAAUACUUUUCUUUCUUUAUUUUCUGUUUUUACGCUGGCUGCUCCGUGUUUCUGAGAUAAGACAUAUACAUGCGUUAGAAAAUGUAACAUGCUCUAUUCAUUUAUUUCCUUGGACACGUAAGAGGCCCUGGGGAGCGUCAGGGAGCCUGGCUGAUGGCACUGAGUGUGAGGGAGCUUACUCCACGACGUUUGAAGAAUCGUCACCUGUAAAGCAACAGUGUUUGGUCUCGUUUUCAUGACUGGAUCAAAGUAUUCACCAGUAUUCAUGUUCCAUUUCCAGGUCACACCUUCUGACGCAUGUAAUCAUUGUGUGCAUGUUUUGAAAAGUCCUGGUUAUUUCAAAAUGGGCAAACAAGCAUUCUCUGAGCUCUCCCGUGCUCCUGCCCCCACUGCCCCAGCCCUCCUCGACCUCGGAGACCUCACCCAGAUCCAGCAGCUCCAGAACUGGCCCCCUGCCCCAGCAGGGGCUCUCCAGCGCCUGGCUCUUGUGUGAGGACCAGCAUCAGUUCUGAUUGGUGGAGACACAGCAGGAAGGCGGCCAUCUGCGGGCCAGGAGGCGGGCUCUCACCAGGAAUCAAAUCUGCCAGCACCUUGAUCUUGGGCUUCCGGCCUCCAGAACUGUGAGAAAUAAUUGUCUAUUGUUUGAGCCACCCAGUCUGUGGUAUUUUGUUGUAGCAGCCCAAACUGACUGAGAUAUUGUAUCGUGAGCCUCAAACCCACCAGGGGGCUUCUGGGGCAUGUGGUCACUGUGGUGUGUUCCCAAGUCAGAUGUCAGAUGAAAAUCCACCUAUCUUAUGGCCAGUAUUCCAAGACAUGGGUAACAUCAGGUGAGGGGAUGUUGUUAACUGCCUGCCACUGGAGUAGG
Molecule: long non-coding RNA, 5582 nt
Organism: Diceros bicornis minor
Lineage: Eukaryota; Metazoa; Chordata; Mammalia; Perissodactyla; Rhinocerotidae
Exons: 5
Source: RefSeq, a predicted model, not a curated record